RNAcentral lists this ribosomal RNA (671 nucleotides) under uncultured Alphaproteobacteria bacterium. Its description in RNAcentral is "bacterial SSU rRNA". It matches the Rfam family "Bacterial small subunit ribosomal RNA", at positions 64 to 781 of the family's 1533-position model. Lineage: Bacteria; Pseudomonadati; Pseudomonadota; Alphaproteobacteria. The record is from RNAcentral.
GAACGCAGUAGCAAUACUGAGUGGCAAACGGGUGAGUAUAAUGUGGGAAUCUGCCUUUUGGUUUGGAAUAACACGGGGAAACUUGUGCUAAUACCGAAUAAGCCCUUACGGGGAAAGUUUUAACGCCGAAAGAUGAGCCCGCACUUGAUUAGCUAGUUGGUAAGGUAAAAGCUUACCAAGGCAACGAUCAAUAGCUGUUCUUAGAGGAAGACCAGCCACAUUGGGACUGAGACACGGCCCAGACUCCUACGGGAGGCAGCAGUGGGGAAUCUUGCACAAUGGGGGAAACCCUGAUGCAGCGAUGCCGCGUGAGUGAAGAAGGCCUUUGGGUUGUAAAACUCUUUCGUCGGGGAAGAAGAUGACUGUACCCGAAUAAGAAGGUCCGGCUAACUUCGUGCCAGCAGCCGCGGUAAUACGAAGGGACCUAGCGUAGUUCGGAAUUACUGGGCUUAAAGAGCUCGUAGGUGGUUAAAAAAGUUGAUGGUGAAAUCCCAAGGCUCAACCUUGGAACUGCCAUCAAAACUUUUUAGCUAGAGUGUGAUAGAGGUAAGUGGAAUUUCUAGUGUAGAGGUGAAAUUCGUAGAUAUUAGAAAGAACACCAAAUGCGAAGGCAACUUACUGGGUCACUACUGACACUGAGGAGCGAAAGCAUGGGUAGCGAAGAGGAUUAG